Molecule: ribosomal RNA, 679 nt
Filed under: Austropeltum glareosum
Lineage: Eukaryota; Fungi; Ascomycota; Lecanoromycetes; Lecanorales; Sphaerophoraceae
Description: SSU rRNA
Rfam family: Bacterial small subunit ribosomal RNA
Source: RNAcentral
UGUAUUAAAAUUUUUAAUGCAACAAUGAUUAUGUCAUCUAAAGUUCUAGAUAUAAUAAUGAUAAUGACGUUUCAUAUCUAUGUGUCUUGACCAAAUCACGUGCCAGCAGUCGCGGUAAUACGUGGAAGACUAGUGUUAUUCAUCUUUAACAGGUUUAAAGGGUACCUAGACAGUUAAUCAAGCUUGGAAAGAGGACUGAUUAGACUAGAGUUUUAUAGGAAAAGGGGAGUACAGAUGAGUGUAGUGAUAAUAUACUAUGAUACCAUCUUGAAACUGACAACGGCGAAGGCAACCUUUUAUGUAAAAACUGACGUUGAGGGACGAAGGCUUAGGGCACGAAUAGGAUUAGAUACCCUAGUAGUCUAAGCAGAAAAUUAUGAAUGUCAUAUGUAAGAAAAUUUUUACGUAUAAAUGAAAGUGUAAGCAUUCCACCUUAAGAGUAGUGUGGCAACACAGAAACUGAAAUCAUUAGACCGUUUCUGAAACCAGUAGUGAAGUAUGUUGUUUAAUUAGAUAAUCCGCAAAAAAUCUUACCACAAUUUGAAUGUAAAAAUAAAUUUAUUUUUACACAAGCGUUGCACGGCUGUCUUAAGUUAAUGUCGUGAGACUUUGGUUGGUUCCAAGAAAUUAACGUAAACCCUUACUUUAUUUAAUAAAGUAGAUCACCCACACAAUGGAA